GGGGGCGAAAGGAGUCGACCAGAUACGUUGAGGUAUAGGUGGCGUAUUGAGGUUGUCAGGAGGCCUCAUAAAAAACCUGGCAAACAAUUUAACUGCCAAACAACCAAUGGCAAUGGCUGCUUAAUAAAACAGCCACAUUUAAUUAACCUUACCUGCGAGGUUAAUUAAAUGAUGACAAGCAGGUUAGUUUAAUUCCUUCGUUCGGUGGGAAUUGAAUGAAUCUUUAAACGGGACUGGUUAUUGGAAAUCCUGUCUGCUGGAGUUCCGGAUAACGAGAUGCAAAAAACAGACUAUAUACGUAGAAGCCUAUGCUGAAAUAUCUAGGGACGCGGGUUCAAUUCCCGCCGCCUCCACCA
RNAcentral lists this transfer-messenger RNA (356 nucleotides) under Candidatus Brocadiaceae. Its description in RNAcentral is "Jettenia sp021646405 Standard tmRNA". It matches the Rfam family "transfer-messenger RNA". From Rfam's summary of the family: Bacterial tmRNA, also known as 10Sa RNA or SsrA, is named for its dual tRNA and mRNA-like properties. Its role is to liberate the mRNA from a stalled ribosome. Lineage: Bacteria; Pseudomonadati; Planctomycetota; Candidatus Brocadiia; Candidatus Brocadiales. The record is from RNAcentral. RNAcentral also lists the same sequence under 1 other name.